RNAcentral lists this non-coding RNA (169 nucleotides) under Mesorhizobium muleiense. The record is from RNAcentral. Lineage: Bacteria; Pseudomonadati; Pseudomonadota; Alphaproteobacteria; Hyphomicrobiales; Phyllobacteriaceae.
GUCGCCGCGAGGCGGGGUCUGAAGGAAGCUGCAAGCAAAGUGCCGGCCUGACGAACAGCAAGCGCAUAUGAGGCGGCCGCAACCGGGCGAGGGGGCGCAUGGACCCGAAGCCCGAUAUCACCCCGGAGGGUGCGGCCGUAGAUGCGACAGGCACAUGGCACGAAGGUCA